AGAGUUUGAUCCUGGCUCAGGAUGAACGCUGGCGGCGUGCCUAACACAUGCAAGUCGAACGGGAACCCUUGGAUUCGUCUGAGGGGGUGAGUGGCAAACGGGUGAGUAACACGUAGGUGACCUGCCCCGAAGAGGAGAAUAACCAUCGGAAACGGUGGCUAAUACUCCAUGUGCUCGAUGGUUCAUUCUGUCGAGGAAAGCUCCGGCGCUUCGGGAGGGGCCUGCGGCCCAUUAGGUAGUUGGUAGGGUAAGCCUACACCAGACGACGGGUAGGGGGGAGGAGGCGGUCCCCCCACUGGCACUGAGACACGGCCCAAACUCCUACGGGAGGCAGCAGUGAGGAAUUGAUAAUGGAUGAAGUCUGAGGACCAUCGCCCCGUUUCGAUGAAGGCCUUCGGGUUGUAAAGCCUUUUCUGGGAAAGAUGAACGAGUUAACCGAAUUAAUCAAUCACGUCUAAGUACGUGCCGACAACCGCCAUGAUACACCUGUGCCCACUGCUAGAAGGAUUUACUGGGUUUCGCUUCAGUGCUACGGGCUUGGCAAAUCCAAUGAAGGAUCUUCGGGUUGCCUCGAAUUAGACCAUACGAUCCGGUGCUAGUGCGGGUCCCCGUCAAUUCCUUUGAGUUUAAGUCUUGCGGCCGUAGUCCCCAGGCGGGAUACUGAUGACGAUAGCCACCAACACCUAGUAUCACCGUUUACGGCGUGCACUACCGGGGUAUCUAAUCCCGUUCGCUACCCACGCUUUCGCGUCUCAGCGUCAGGUGCGGGCCAGGACGCCGCCUUCGCCACUGGUGUUCCUCCCGAUUCUCCACACUACGCCGGGAAUUCCACGUCCCUCUCCCGACUCAAGUCCUGAGUAUCGUGUGGUUUAAUUCGAGGCAACGCGAAGAACCUUACCUGGGUUUGACAUGCACGUAGUAGUGAAGCGAAAGCGGAUCGAUCCUUCGGGAAGCGUGCACAGGUGCUGCAUGGCUGUCGUCAGCUCGUGCCGUGAGGUGUUCGGUUAAGUCCGGUAACGAGCGCAACCCUCGCUGUUAGUUACAUGUGGGUGGGAAGUCUAACGGGACUGCCGGUUUAAUGCCGGAGGAAGGUGGGGAUGACGUCAAGUCAGCAUGGCCUUUAUGUCCAGGGCUACACACACGCUACAAUGGCCGGUACAAUGGGUUGCCAAACCGCGAGGUGGAGCUAAUCCUCCAAAGCCGGUCUCAGUUCGGAUUGUAGGCUGCAACUCGCCUGCAUGAACGUGGAGUUGCUAGUAACCGCAGGUCAGCCACACAGCGGUGAAUACGUUCCCGGGCCUUGUACACACCGCCCGUCACGUCAUGGGAGCCGGUAACACCUGAAGCCGGUGGGCUAACCGUAAGGAGGCAGCUGUCGAAGGUGGGACUGGUGACUGGGACGAAGUCGUAACAAGGUAGCCGUA
Molecule: ribosomal RNA, 1424 nt
Filed under: uncultured bacterium
Lineage: Bacteria
Description: partial 16S ribosomal RNA
Rfam family: Bacterial small subunit ribosomal RNA
Source: RNAcentral